UACAGAGGUCCCAAGCGUUGUUCGGAUUCACUGGGCGUAAAGGGUGCGUAGGUGGUGGGGUAAGUCGGAUGUGAAAGCUCGGAGCUCAACUCCGAAAUGGCAUUGGAAACUACCCUGCUAGAGGAUUGGAGGGGGGACUGGAAUACUUGGUGUAGCAGUGAAAUGCGUAGAUAUCAAGUGGAACACCAGUGGCGAAGGCGAGUCCCUGGACAAUACCUGACACUGAGGCACGAAAGCUAGGGGAGCGAACGGG
RNAcentral lists this ribosomal RNA (253 nucleotides) under uncultured bacterium. Its description in RNAcentral is "partial 16S ribosomal RNA". It matches the Rfam family "Bacterial small subunit ribosomal RNA", at positions 524 to 776 of the family's 1533-position model. The record is from RNAcentral.